RNAcentral lists this long non-coding RNA (699 nucleotides) under Homo sapiens (human). RNAcentral describes it as "HAGLR opposite strand lncRNA (HAGLROS)". Lineage: Eukaryota; Metazoa; Chordata; Mammalia; Primates; Hominidae. The record is from RNAcentral.
GCUCUCCGCGCCUCAGCGAGCGGCCAGGCUGCGGGCGGGGUGGGCUGGCGCUCCUGAUCCACCUGGAACACUUUUGCAAAGACAGACGCGGUUCCUCCUACUUCAGAGCAAGUCUGGGCCAGCUGGGAUCCGACCAGAAAUCGCAAGCGGAGGAGACGCAGUAGCGCAGGCUGAGCGCUAACUGAAGGCGCGACCUGAGCCCGGCGCCUGCUGGGGAGCUGCGCAGCCAGGACAGCGGUCGGCAGCACAGGGCCUGGGCGCAGGGCCCGCCGUCACCACCUCACGUCGGAAGCCAGCACUGCUGCCCGCCAGCCCUGCCGCCUGCCCUCGGACUUCCCAGGGCGCCCAGGGUCCUCCCAACGCGCCUGCACCCACACCCGCCCCUGAGCCACAGUGACCUUGCAUUCCCCGCCCCCUGCCACACCUCCUGCGUGCCCGAGUGUCACCCUUAAAUACCGCUCUACACCCAGAGAGGGACGAAUACACCUCUGAAGACAGGGCAAGACUAAUUUCAAUGGGUCAGAAGGUUCUUGCAGGCACUGUUUUAUUUAAGAGUGCCUAUUUACUGGCAGGAGUAUUUGUGUGGGAGGAAGUAGGCUAAGACUGCUGUUGAACUUGAAGCUAAACUUGAAUGCCAUUUAAAAUAACAAUAAAAAUAUACUUAAAACACCAAAAAAAAAAAAAAAAAAAAAAAAAAAA